UAAUCCCCGCGGCCCCGCCCGCAAUAUGUGGAUCAAUUCCAUCCGACUCGGUGCCUCGCCGCCUGUCAGAAAAGAAAAAUCAGUGCCUCCCGACCCUUCUCUCGCCGAGCACAACAACCAUGGCGACGGAUCUGUAGCGUCCGCGGCCGCUCCACCUUGGGUUCCCUGACCCUUCUUCUCUAGGCUGGGCAGAGCAACCAUGGCGGCGGAUUCGCAGCUUCCACGGCCGCUCCACCUCGGGCAGCGUGGAUCACGGCCAGCGGCCCGAUGGAGGCGGGUACCGGCGUGGUUGCUAUUCUGCCCUGCUCUCCCUCCAUGUCUCCUCCUGAGCCUUCGGUGGCCAGAUGCCUCUUCCACUAGGGGCACCCUCAUCGUUGGCGGAUUUUAUAUUUUUCAGGUCAGACAGUGUGCAGCCACACCUGGUCAACAUCCAGUUUCAGAAGAAUGUACAUCUGCAAGUAACCACGACGAGUAAACGAUCUUCCGCUGCCUUCCACUCAAUUUUGUUUGGAUGCGCACGUGAAGUCGAAUGACAAGAACCAGCUAGAUGAGGGCAUUCAUUCGAAACACAUAUCUAAUCUUCUAUGUGUGGGAUCCUUUUUCUGUUCUGAAUUUGUUGUUCGGGCGAGCUUGUUACUCUCUACAUGGAUUUCAAGUUGGAUGAGAGCUACACGCUGAGCAAGAUCUCCAUUUGGACUGGCGACGGCUUCCACAAUCUCAAGGCAAUUCCUCUUUUCUGAAGAUAGCAGCGAGGUGCCCAGUAAGAGCACACACGUAUCUCUGAAUUAUAAGUUAUGAUAUGUGCUCUAUGUUGAGAUCACAUAUCAAUUGUUUUUGAACAAUACUCGGGUUAGUUUGGUAUAGUUCUUACAUGUAUUGCCAUCUCAGCUUACCAUGAGCCUAAUUUUUGUAGUUGUAUACUUAUUGUAUGUCUGCAUAUAUGUAUGAAUUGAACACCUGCUGCUAUUUUCGUGGUCCGCGCACUUGCUUGAAAUAUAAUCAACUUA
Long non-coding RNA from Triticum aestivum (bread wheat), 1007 nucleotides. RefSeq lists it as uncharacterized. The transcript is spliced from 3 exons. The record is from RefSeq and is a predicted model, not a curated record. NCBI's taxonomy places the organism in Eukaryota, Viridiplantae, Streptophyta, Magnoliopsida, Poales, Poaceae.